AUGUUGAUGAAACUCCCCAUCUCUCAUUGUACAACCGUCUUGCCUCAGAUUUGUAGUGAGGUUGCUCGUGUCUAUAUGGCUCAUAUCUUGUACUCUGCACCCUGCUAG
Molecule: ribosomal RNA, 108 nt
Filed under: Triticum aestivum (bread wheat)
Lineage: Eukaryota; Viridiplantae; Streptophyta; Magnoliopsida; Poales; Poaceae
Description: partial small subunit ribosomal RNA
Source: RNAcentral